This is a long non-coding RNA of Gasterosteus aculeatus aculeatus (three-spined stickleback), 506 nucleotides long. NCBI's taxonomy places the organism in Eukaryota, Metazoa, Chordata, Actinopteri, Perciformes, Gasterosteidae. The record is from Ensembl.
GCCGAGAGGAAACUCAAACCGCUGUUAGACCGGGUCAGAGCCCAGUUAGACCGGGCUAGACCGGGUCAGACCCGGGUUAGACCGGGCUAGACCGGGUCAGACCCGGGUAAGAGCAGAGAUAGCAGAAAGUGCCUCGGCCCAGUCAGUGGACUGAAGAAUGAGUGACCAACAGGAAGUGUCACAGUGCCACCAGCAGGUCCUGAGACCAAAGGACAGAAACAACACACACUCACUGCAAUUUUAGUCUAAAAUAUUUGACAACUUUGUUUGUUUGCAGCUAUAUAUUGUCAUCCAUAAAUCUCCUGCAGGAGCUCUUACAUCUACCAAACUUUACAAAUGGAUUUUUUUUUACAUGUCUAUUGGCAGUUGAACUCAUCACCGUGUGCCAUCGAUUUGAGCCUCCUCCUCCUCCUCCUCCUCCUCCUCACGUUGAGUUUAAGGUCAUGUUGGGUCCGUUGAAGGUCAUCUGCUGAAAUCGGACCCGACACUCACACCCACAGAAGAAG